Molecule: ribosomal RNA, 450 nt
Filed under: uncultured bacterium
Lineage: Bacteria
Description: partial 16S ribosomal RNA
Rfam family: Bacterial small subunit ribosomal RNA
Source: RNAcentral
AACGAACGCUGGCGGCAUGCCUAACACAUGCAAGUCGAACGAGAUCUUCGGAUCUAGUGGCGCACGGGUGCGUAACGCGUGGGAAUCUGCCCUUUGGUUCGGAAUAACAGUUGGAAACGACUGCUAAUACCGGAUGAUGACGAAAGUCCAAAGAUUUAUCGCCAGAGGAUGAGCCCGCGUAGGAUUAGCUAGUUGGUGUGAUAAAGGCGCACCAAGGCGACGAUCCUUAGCUGGUCUGAGAGGAUGAACAGCCACACUGGGACUGGAGACACGGCCCAGACUCCUACGGGAGGCAGCAGUGGGGAAUAUUGGACAAUGGGCGAAAGCCUGAUCCAGCAAUGCCGCGUGAGUGAUGAAGGCCUUAGGGUUGUAAAGCUCUUUUACCCGGGAUGAUAAUGACAGUACCGGGAGAAUAAGCUCCGGCUAACUCCGUGCCAGCCGCCGCAGUAA